ACACCGGCAGCUCAAGUGGUGGCCGUUUUUAUUGGGCCUAAAGCGUUCGUAGCCGGCCUGAUAAGUCUCUGGUGAAAUCCCGCAGCUUAACUGUGGGAAUUGCUGGAGAUACUAUUAGGCUUGAGGUCGGGAGAGGUUAGAGGUACUCCCAGGGUAGGGGUGAAAUCCUAUAAUCCUGGGAGGACCACCUGUGGCGAAGGCGUCUAACUGGAAUGAACCUGACGGUGAGUAACGAAAGCCAGGGGCGCGAACCGGAUUAGAUACCCGGGUAGUCCUGGCCGUAAACGAUGUGGACUUGGUGUUGGGAUGGCCUCGAGCUGCCCCAGUGCCGAAGGGAAGCGGUUAAGUCCACCGCCUGGGAAGUACGGUCGCAAGACUGAA
RNAcentral lists this ribosomal RNA (381 nucleotides) under uncultured archaeon. RNAcentral's name for it is "bacterial SSU rRNA". It matches the Rfam family "Archaeal small subunit ribosomal RNA", at positions 473 to 853 of the family's 1478-position model. The record is from RNAcentral.